Molecule: ribosomal RNA, 471 nt
Filed under: uncultured bacterium
Lineage: Bacteria
Description: bacterial SSU rRNA
Rfam family: Bacterial small subunit ribosomal RNA
Source: RNAcentral
UGGGGAAUCUUGCGCAAUGGGCGAAAGCCUGACGCAGCGACGCCGCGUGAGUGAUGAAGGCCUUCGGGUUGUAAAGCUCUGUGGGGAGAGAAGAAUAAGUGCGGGCUAAUACCCCGCAUGAUGACGGUAUCUCCUUAGCAAGCACCGGCUAACUCUGUGCCAGCAGCCGCGGUAAGACAGAGGGUGCAAACGUUGUUCGGAAUUACUGGGCGUAAAGCGAGUGUAGGCGGUUUGGUAAGUCGGAUGUGAAAGCCCCGGGCUCAACCCGGGAAGUGCAUUCGAUACUGCCAAGCUAGAGUAUCGGAGAGGUUGGUGGAAUUCUCGGUGUAGAGGUGAAAUUCGUAGAUAUCGAGAGGAACACCGGUGGCGAAGGCGGCUCACUGGUCCGGUACUGACACUGAGGUGCGAAAGCGUGGGGAGCAAACAGGAUUAGAUACCCCAGUAGUCCCUGAGCGGGCUGGCAAGGCGCAU